UUACACAUCUUUUCCACACAUACAUAAGGCAGCUUGAAUUUCUGGUAAUUGUGAGGGCUUGACCCUUGCAACUAUUUCCAAUAUACCCCUGGUGGCUUUUGGACUUUGUCAAGAUCAUCUGAUGAUAUACACAACCUGGAUACCCCAUGGUUCUCCUACCACCAGAUGCUACUGAGGCUAAACUGACUGGACUGAGGAAAAAUAUCUGUGGGGAAAACUUUCUUUCAGAAUCCAACUUUGAACCAGAGAAAUCCAUUCUCUUGAAGCUGUCUGCUGUGGAGAAGUUGGCCUUACCAAUCUGCCUUUGAAGUUCAAGUUAUACAGGAUCUGCGAGGCUACCUGUGAAUGAAUGGUUGGUUGGUCACUACUUGCAAGUUUUUCAGGAGCUCCUGAAAGAUUACUGCAUAAAUAAGGGAAGAUGGAGACCAGACCUCUGGCUACUGUUGCUGCCACCACUACAGAUACCACCUUCACCCUUAUGAACCCCCUAUUUACUGAACAUUCUCUAUAUGCCAGGUAACAUGCCCUGCACUUGUGAAAUAAGGACUGUUAUUUCCCCUAUUUUAUAAAAGAGGAGCUGAGGCUCAGAGAGAUUAUGUUACUUGCCCAAGAUCAGAUAGCUAGUAAGUGGCAGAGAUGAGAUUCUGUCUGAGUCCAGCUUACACCAUAACUGAUAUUCUUGACAAUCGGGCUGGAUAGAAAAGGAUAAGAUAUGAGAAUUUUGGUGCUAUGAUUUGAAUUUUCCUUCCAAAGCUCAUGUUGAAACUUAAUCCCCAAAGUAACAGUACUGAUAGGUGGGGUCUUUAACAUGGAGUCCCAGAAUUGGAUCGUGAGGGCUCUGCCCUGAUAAAUGAAUUAUUCCACUCAUGAUUAAUGGAUUAAUAGAUCAUCAUGGGAGUGGAACAGUGGCUUUAUAAGAAGAGGAAGAGAGACCUGAGGUAGAACACUCAGCGCCCUUGCCAUGUGAUGCUCUGUACUGCCUUGGGACUCUGCAGAGUCUCUCUACCAGCAAGAAGGUCCUCACCAGAUGCAGUCCCUUGACCUUGGCCUUCUUAGCUUCUACAACUGUCAUAAAUAAUUUUUUCUUUAUAAAUUACCCAGUUUUGGGAGUUCUAUUAUAAGCAAUAAAAACCAGUCAAAUACAUUGAGUUAUAAUUAUGAUGUUUAAGAUGGAGGAAAAUGAACAUGGAAAACACUAGAGAAAUGAAUGCUAAACUAGAGCAUAAGCAUUGGGAUUGUGAAAAAAAGAUAUUUGAAAUAUUUUAAAGAUAUGGAAUUUAAAAGAUUAUGAAACAGAUAAAGUAUAAGAGAAAGAGAGAAAAUGAAAAAUGAUCCCAAGAUUGCAAACCCUUAGUAUUGGUGAAACACUCAUAGCUGGGGGAAAAAGUCAAAAGGAAGAGCUGGCUUGUGGGUACAGAUGGAGAAAUCCGGAUUUAUUGAACCUUUCUUUGCCAGCGGGGUAUUUGUGUAAAAAGAGCUAUUCAUUUAUUCUCAUUCAUUUAGCAUGUAAAGAACACAGCUAGGCAUUGGAAACACAUAACAAAACCUAUUUCUGUACACAUUUAGAAAUGUGGAUCUGAAAGAUCAAGAUUUUGGGUUUCAUUCAUUUAUUUAUUCAAACAUGUGUUGAGGUCUUUCCAAAGUAUGUGAUAAAUUAAGCAGAAAGGACAGAGAAAUUCAUGAAAAUAGGUAUGAUCAUCAAGGAAAACAAUAAAAAAUGUAAGGUAAAAGGCCAAACUUAAGGGAAUGCCUUUAUUAAGGGAUAUGGGAGGGAGAAAAAAUAAUUUGAAAAGAAGUUGUCAAGGUGGGAAGAGAGCAGGACAAAACAGUCUCAGAAUUGGGUGUAUGAGAGAGAUUUUAGGAAGAAGAGAGGGUUCAGUAGUGCCCAAGACCAGAGCU
Molecule: long non-coding RNA, 1899 nt
Filed under: Homo sapiens (human)
Lineage: Eukaryota; Metazoa; Chordata; Mammalia; Primates; Hominidae
Description: HSALNT0312531
Source: RNAcentral